CGUAGGAUCCGAGCGUUGUCCGGAUUUACUGGGUGUAAAGGGUGCGCAGGCGGACUGGUAAGUCAGUGGUGAAAUCUCGUCGCUUAACGACGAAACUGCCUUUGAUACUAUCAGUCUUGAGUCCGGUAGAGAUCUGUGGAAUUCCGAGUGUAGCAGUGAAAUGUGUAGAUAUUCGGAAGAACACCAGUGGCGAAGGCAGCAGAUUGGGCCGGUACUGACGCUCAUGCACGAAAGCGUCGGGGAUCAAACAGGAUUAGAUACCCUGGUAGUCCACGGCCCUAAACGAUGUACACUUGAUGUCGGACCUGUAAGGGUCGGGUGUCGGAGCUAACGGCGUUAAGUGUACCACCUGGGGAGGUACGCGUCGCAAGGGUG
This 375-nucleotide ribosomal RNA is filed under the name uncultured organism. RNAcentral's name for it is "bacterial SSU rRNA". It matches the Rfam family "Bacterial small subunit ribosomal RNA", at positions 526 to 896 of the family's 1533-position model. The record is from RNAcentral.